Long non-coding RNA from Gavialis gangeticus (Gharial), 829 nucleotides. RefSeq lists it as uncharacterized. The record is from RefSeq and is a predicted model, not a curated record. NCBI's taxonomy places the organism in Eukaryota, Metazoa, Chordata, Crocodylia, Gavialidae. The transcript is spliced from 3 exons.
GGAGGGCAAUGCUGAUCGGAUGAAAGCACUUUGAGCUAGUACCAGCCAUCUUUCUCCUUCCUCUCUGUCCAGAAGGAGCAUGGUUUAUCCUGGAUGGCUGCAUACAAGGCUGUUUACACUGCCUGAUUCAUGGCCAUAUUCUGAGUUUCCUACUUGUGUUUUUUUUAGCUUACUUCGUUUUGAGACAAGCAAGGGGGACAUAUCGCAAAGGGGAAGGAAGUGCCUGUUCUAGGACUGUUCAAAGAAAAACAAGCGAUGCAAGGAGCACGCCAACAACUACCUUGACAACAUGAAAUGUCUGUCAUACGGCAAAUCAUUUCUGCAAUGGUGAAUCGUCUCCAAAUCGUCACCUUCUUAAAAUAUCUGAAAAAUACAAUGGCUGGAAGAAUAAACCUAGUAAACUAAAAAGAAGCCAAAGUGGAUUUAGUUUUUCUUUCUCAAGGCAUGAUCGUGGGUGCCUCUUCAUUGAAAGCAUCGAUGAAGAACUUCAAGGUUGACAAUCUUGAACUUGACAAAUCACCGGGUCUUAAAGACAAUAAGGUGCCUUACAGUUACCAACUUUGAGCUACUGGACAAAAGCUUGAAUGAACGACCAAACGUCUUGGAUUGCCUGGGUCCGGUCUCGCACUGUGGAACAGCAAGAAGAGACGGCGAUGCAUGGACUAAAACCAGGAGACUUCAAUGCCAAGGAUCAGACACACGCCAGCGUAAUGUCGAAAAACCAUGGACACAGGCUGGAGGUGGUGGAAAUCAGACUGGCCCAGAAACAAGGUAGCCCCUUUUAGAGAGAAUUACAGCCCGUCAAACAGACAUAGCAUGAGAGGCACAA